UGUCAUUCCAGGCAACAGCUGUUGACAUGAGAAGACAAAAAACUUCAGGCCCCUGUUGCCCCAGUGAAGGCGGCUAGGGAGCCACUCUGAAAAUGUAUUAUCGUGGAGAGCUGCCAACGUUGAUGGUGACUCCUAGCACCAGCUGCACAAUCUGAAACAUGUCUCCUCUCAGUCACACAGACUGGAGGGGCACAGAGAGACACAACAUCUGGAUGCACACCUGUGUCCCAGAUCCCUUUCUGCUUCCUUGUCCUUGAUUACAUGGCAGAUCUUACAGAUGGUAGCUAUGGCUGUUGGAGAGACCACACAUCUAUGUGAGCCAUGUGGGACAGGUGGACCGUGCCACCAGACAGAAGAACUGCAGAUGGCAUGACACAAAGCCAGGAGCAAGGGCUUGGAAGCUCUCUCUACUUGGGUCACAGGACUUAGCCCGCUGAGCACCUUUGAAGCUUGGCUAUUUGGUAAUGGGAUCUGGAAGCACUUGGCUCAUGAGGACGAAAUGAAGGACACACAGUAAACACUUCGCAUGUGGAACAGAUUCAAGAUUGUGUACUGUCUACCCUCAUGACUUUAUCAUCAGGAUCAGCAAAGCCAGUGGUC
This 600-nucleotide long non-coding RNA is filed under the name Mus spicilegus (steppe mouse). RNAcentral's name for it is "lncRNA (ENSMSIG00000019541.1)". Lineage: Eukaryota; Metazoa; Chordata; Mammalia; Rodentia; Muridae. The record is from RNAcentral.